RNAcentral lists this ribosomal RNA (253 nucleotides) under uncultured bacterium. Its description in RNAcentral is "partial 16S ribosomal RNA". It matches the Rfam family "Bacterial small subunit ribosomal RNA", at positions 524 to 776 of the family's 1533-position model. The record is from RNAcentral.
UACGUAGGGUGCGAGCGUUGUCCGGAAUUACUGGGCGUAAAGAGCUCGUAGGUGGUUUGUCGCGUUGUUCGUGAAAACUCACAGCUCAACUGUGGGCGUGCGGGCGAUACGGGCAGACUGGAGUACUGCAGGGGAGACUGGAAUUCCUGGUGUAGCGGUGGAAUGCGCAGAUAUCAGGAGGAACACCGGUGGCGAAGGCGGGUCUCUGGGCAGUAACUGACGCUGAGGGGCGAAAGCGUGGGGAGCGAACAGG